GCCGCGCCUGGUGGCGGGCGCCUGUAGUCCCAGCUACUCGGGAAGCUGAGGCAGGAGAAUGUCGAGAACCCGGGAGGCAGAGCUUGCAGUGAGGCGAGAUAGCAUCACUGCAGUCCAGCCUGGGCGAAAGAGUGAGACUCCAUCUCAAAAAAAAAAAAAAAAUUUUAUUGAUAUAUAUAUUUUUUGAGACAGAGUUUUGCUCUAGUUGCCCAGGCUGGAGUGUAAUGGCACGAUCUCGGCUCACUGCAAAAUCCGCCUCCUGGGUUCAAGUGAUUCUCCUGCCUCA
Molecule: small RNA, 286 nt
Filed under: Pongo abelii (Sumatran orangutan)
Lineage: Eukaryota; Metazoa; Chordata; Mammalia; Primates; Hominidae
Source: RNAcentral